This 497-nucleotide ribosomal RNA is filed under the name uncultured bacterium. RNAcentral's name for it is "partial 16S ribosomal RNA". It matches the Rfam family "Bacterial small subunit ribosomal RNA", at positions 28 to 507 of the family's 1533-position model. The record is from RNAcentral.
GAUGAACGCUGGCGGCGUGCCUAAUACAUGCAAGUCGAGCGAACAGAUAAGGAGCUUGCUCCUUUGACGUUAGCGGCGGACGGGUGAGUAACACGUGGGUAACCUACCUAUAAGACUGGGAUAACUUCGGGAAACCGGAGCUAAUACCGGAUAACAUUUGGAACCGCAUGGUUCUAAAGUGAAAGAUGGUUUUGCUAUCACUUAUAGAUGGACCCGCGCCGUAUUAGCUAGUUGGUAAGGUAACGGCUUACCAAGGCAACGAUACGUAGCCGACCUGAGAGGGUGAUCGGCCACACUGGAACUGAGACACGGUCCAGACUCCUACGGGAGGCAGCAGUAGGGAAUCUUCCGCAAUGGGCGAAAGCCUGACGGAGCAACGCCGCGUGAGUGAUGAAGGGUUUCGGCUCGUAAAACUCUGUUAUUAGGGAAGAACAAAUGUGUAAGUAACUGUGCACGUCUUGACGGUACCUAAUCAGAAGGCCACGGCUAACUACGUG